GUUUGACGGCUCCUGGCGCUCGCCUCGCCGACCGCCAUGUCACAUCCGAGAGAGGAGGCGGGGGCGGCCGCGGAGAGGAUUCUUUUUUUGUUUUUUUGUUUUGUGUUUUGUCCCCUCCACAAGAGUGGUCUUGCUGAGCUGGUAAAGUGAGGAACGCAGCAGCAGCAGAGACAGCAGAAGAGUGGUGGUGUUGGCAGAGGCAGCAGAACCCCAGUGGCAGUAACAGCUCAGCCAUCAGCAGGCCAUGGUGUGAAUGCAGCAGAAGCAGCAGCUCAACAGCUGUGCAGUGACCAGGUCAAGAUGUAAGAACUGUCAGCUCCUUUUCCAGCACCAUGUCUGCCUGCAUGCUGCCUUGCUUCCUGCCAUGAGUAUAAUGGACUACACCUCUGAACUGUAAGCAAGCUACUCCAAGUAGAUGUUUUUCCUUUGUAA
Peromyscus eremicus (cactus mouse) is the source of this 432-nucleotide long non-coding RNA. RefSeq lists it as uncharacterized. The record is from RefSeq and is a predicted model, not a curated record. NCBI's taxonomy places the organism in Eukaryota, Metazoa, Chordata, Mammalia, Rodentia, Cricetidae. The transcript is spliced from 3 exons.